This 230-nucleotide long non-coding RNA is filed under the name Gossypium raimondii (Peruvian cotton). Its description in RNAcentral is "long non-coding RNA (GRAI_LNC011109)". The record is from RNAcentral. Lineage: Eukaryota; Viridiplantae; Streptophyta; Magnoliopsida; Malvales; Malvaceae.
UUUUUUUUAAUCAUUUUUUGUUUGAGUCAAAGUGCCCUUUGUAGUUUUCACAUUGGUCCUUCCUUCUUCUUUAAACGAAGUGUUUAUUAACUGGAUCUGAGUUUAUAGGAUUGGCAAUCUCACUCAGGAUCAGUGCUCCUCUGAAAAUGGUCUUCUUUACAACAUAGGGACAUUCCUGGUUUGGCAUUCAUUUCCCUUUAGAAUCCUUUCGUUAAAGGAGAAUAUUUUUC